RNAcentral lists this long non-coding RNA (3436 nucleotides) under Triticum aestivum (bread wheat). RNAcentral's name for it is "long non-coding RNA (TAES_LNC010464)". The record is from RNAcentral. Lineage: Eukaryota; Viridiplantae; Streptophyta; Magnoliopsida; Poales; Poaceae.
ACAAAACAAUUUAUCUCUUCCACUAAUAUAUUAGAUUAGAUACAGGUGUUACAUGUCCAACUAUUGUCACGUGCAAUUCCUAAUCGGGAAUCUAAAGGACACAUACAUAACUCGGACACUCGGUAAGCCAAGGACACGUAAACACAUACAAAGAGUGCUUACGGACAGAGUCCCCAUAAAAAUACAAAAUUGGCCGCAUCCAUCAGCCUAUUGUCACAUAUAGGCUUUAACUGGAAGAAAAAAUAAACAUACAAGGACUCCAUAAGGGCACAGCCAGAAAUCAUCCAUCAAAAUACACAGCCGGCCGCACCCAGCAGCCAACACACGCCCACCAUCCGCCUAGAAAUCUAAGACACACAGCAAGUCACGACUCAACACCAUGACCAGGAAAAUUGAAGCCAACCAACUCUACGAUGCCAUGACUCGACGAUCCCACCACCAGGACAAUUGAAGCGAACUCUCUAUGAUGCGAGAUGUUCAGACUUGGCUCUCAGGCAAUAAAUAUCAAAGUCGGCCCAAAUUAUGAAGUGGCAUGCAACUCUUUUCUACAUAAGUCACACCCAACCAUCCGAGUUUCCUUCUCACCUGAAUCAACAAGGUUAGUAAGUAUUAUUACUAUGAACUCAAUUUCUUCAGCAAAAAUCUUCAUAUGAACAUUAUCAAUUGACAAGUACAUUUUCAAUCCUUUUGAAGCAAUGGGAACACAAGAAACUGAGAGACUUUAACAAGAGACCAAAACUGGGAUGUUUAAGUGAAACUAAUGGGAACAUGGGAUACAAUAAUCCUCCAAUCGAUGAACUUAUUAGCCUUGAUGUGAUCUAUAUGUAUGAGCAGGUUUAUGUUAUACAUAUUCAUCGAUAACCAAAGUGUCUGCUGUGACCUCAACAAUAGUGCAAAAAUUCAAUGGUAAGUUCAACAAUUUUAAAACCUGAUAUGUUAUUUACAAAAAGAAAAUAUUUAACAGAUUUCUACUUGAUACGUUUGUGCCUAUAGUCAAGCAGUGCCACAGGAGUAUAUACCGAUCUCGAUAUACCCAAACAUCGGGACCUUCUUAACUGGUAUGAAACACCAGCUAUUCUAAUUUAUUGACUAAUUAACUAUGACUAAAUGUCACUCCAUAUAUAUAGGCACCCAGCGGAAGAAUCUUUACCAAAAAUGAUCGAUAUUGAUAGAAGUACUACAACGCACACUAGAAGAGCAAAUGUUUUAUGCAAGGGCGUUACAAGAACUUCCUUAGAUGAGGCAAAAAAAACUAGACAGAUCAGGUAGUCACAAUUUAGUCAUAUAUGUUAUAACAUCAUCUUACAUUCUUACUUGACUUAUAUAUGUCUAACAAUUUCUUCAAAAUGUGAACUUUGAUUUUCUUGGUAAUUUUUAGGACUAUGUGUUCAUUGAUUUGAGAAAUCUACUAAUUCAAACAGGAAUGUUUCUAUUAUACUUGCUCCGUUCCUAAAUACAAGUCCAUUUAGAGAUUUCAAUAUGGACUACAUACAGAUGUAUAUAGACAUAUUUUAGAGUGUAGAUUCACUCAUUUUGCUCCAAAUGUAGUCCAUAUUGGAAUCUCUGAAAAGGCUUAUAUUUAGGAACGAAGGGAGUAUUUACUUUGCACUAAUAACAAUGGUAUGGUAUGUGCCAUAUUCAACUCCAAAUUAGCACUAUAGAAUUACUACAAGUUGCACUUUAUUUGACGAGGAAGAAAAGUUGCUUAAUACAUUUGUCUUGAAUUUGCUAAAUUCAUUGGAUGGGAAGGAAAUCUAAAGCAGCACCAAAGAUUAUACAAAAGUUAUAUGGAAGAAGAUUUAUCUUUCGCUUUGGCAUGCAAAACAAUGCAGUAAAAUGAACAUACAUACCCAAUGAUGGGCUUGAUAUGUUGUACUUUAACGAUAUGUUCUUUAAAAAAUUAAGUAUUGUGUUUCUAUUUUUCUUCAGUGAUACAUCUUGCGUGCCACAUAGGAUUUGAUGAAUGAUGAAGUGGACACCAUCUUCAAAUAAGGAAAGAAGAACAUGCCGGCUAUAAGAAUAAUUGGUUUUUGCACUAUAUACUUUUGCAUUUUUAAAGAUAUGUCUAAUUUUUAAAAUUUAUUUGUAUUUUGCAGUCACAGAAUAAUAAAGAUUCAACUAGGCAAAAGUAAUGUGGACUGAUGUCUGUGACAGAGGAACCACAUGGUACUAAUGGGACUAUGGUAAAUGAAUAUGAGUAUGGAAACAAAAUAUUAUCAUCACACGAACUCCAUGAUGACAAAAGAAAGACCAUUGUUAUAUACUUAUAAGCACACAAAAGAAGUCCUCAAGAACAAGAAACCCGUCAAAGCAAAUCACAAGUACAAUGUUUAAAGAUGAAGACUCAUAUGCUCGCUCUACCAGCAUCUAAUGGUGAGGUUGAAUUAGGUUUUGGAUUGUAGUGACCAAGCUUAUUUUCUCAGUCAAAAGUUGGAUUGAAAAAUAUUAAUUUCCCCUAUUUUUUGACGGGUAACGGCAGGAGCUCUACUAAUUCAUUUAGAGGGGUGUUAACUGUACAUGCUGCUACCAGCAGGGAAAGAACAAAGACGGAAAAGAAAACUGGACAAACAAAUCUAAUUACUCGCAGAAAACUAGCCCGAGGGCCUCAAUGUAUGCAUGUAUGGUCAGUACAAAUAGUUUGUUCUGAUGGUUAUAGUUGAUAAAUAAUGCAGAUAUUAGUGAGUGUGAGAAUCAUGACUACUACCCUUGUGAGGGAGGCUGCAAGAAUAAGCAAGGAUCCUAUGAAUGCACACGGAACAAUAACUCACACAGUGCUAAUUCGUACAAAUAACUCUGCAGGCCAAAUUUUCCACUAGAAGCAAAGAUCGACAUUAGAUAUUUAUGUGUCGAUUCACCUAGAGGCAUCACAAGUAUGGCCUACACCCAUUAAGCCAAUCGAGAAUUGGGUGCAUGUUAAUUAAAGCAUAUGAAGCAAAUUUUAGUUAAAACAUGCAAGAGUUUUUACUUUGUCUUAAAUAAACAAUAAACGUAUGAGUUACAUAACUUGCUAAUAUGUUGUUACAGCAAAUAGAAAAUUAUAUACUUUUUAAUCCAAUUAGAAGGGGAAACAAACCUGUGAAGAAUUGGGUGCUAUGGAGGAAGUAGGAAUGAUGCAUAGAUGUGGCGCAUUGACCAUACCAGGCAUGCUCACCUCUAUCCUGUGUCACAGAUCCAAUAAUUGAAAUAAAUCACAUCCCGUUUGAAGCAAAAAAAUAUAUUAUUGGCAAUUUAAAAAUGAAAGUAAAAUGGUGAAAAUUAACAGACAUGCUAAAGCCAGACCUGGGUGAUUGGAGAAUAUGAGAUCGACGAGGAAAACUUUGGAGGAGAUGGUCGUCAAACGCGACGACCCAGCUCUCUGACCUGACAUCUGCCUCUCUAGUUCAGCAGAGAUGUGAUGCCGCAUCAUGGGAAGGCGAGCAGCGCUAGAUCCGCGGCC